RNAcentral lists this ribosomal RNA (450 nucleotides) under uncultured Glomus. RNAcentral describes it as "SSU rRNA". It matches the Rfam family "Eukaryotic small subunit ribosomal RNA", at positions 569 to 1024 of the family's 1831-position model. The record is from RNAcentral. RNAcentral also lists the same sequence under 1 other name. Lineage: Eukaryota; Fungi; Glomeromycota; Glomeromycetes; Glomerales; Glomeraceae.
AGCAGCCGCGGUAAUUCCAGCUCCAAUAGCGUAUAUUAAAGUUGUUGCAGUUAAAAAGCUCGUAGUUGAAUUUCGGGGUCAGUAGGUUGGUCAUGCCACUGGUAUGUACUGGUCUCACUGAUUCCUCCUUCCUGAUGAGCCGUAAUGCCAUUAAUUUGGUGUUGCGAGGAAUCUGGACUGUUACUUUGAAAAAUUAGAGUGUUUAAAGCAGGCUAACGCUUGAAUACAUUAGCAUGGAAUAAUGAAAUAGGACGUUCGAUCUUAUUUUGUUGGUUUCUAAGAUUGACGUAAUGAUUAAUAGGGAUAGUUGGGGGCAUUAGUAUUCAAUUGUCAGAGGUGAAAUUCUUGGAUUUAUUGAAGACUAACUACUGCGAAAGCAUUUGCCAAGGAUGUUUUCAUUAAUCAAGAACGAAAGUUAGGGGAUCGAAGACGAUCAGAUACCGUCGUAGU